Molossus molossus (Pallas's mastiff bat) is the source of this 605-nucleotide long non-coding RNA. RefSeq lists it as uncharacterized. The record is from RefSeq and is a predicted model, not a curated record. The transcript is spliced from 3 exons. NCBI's taxonomy places the organism in Eukaryota, Metazoa, Chordata, Mammalia, Chiroptera, Molossidae.
UGUUUGACACCAAUAAUCUUUUACCUUUUUAGGGCAGAGUCAUGAAAAUGGUGGAGCUGAGGGGUGGGACAGGUGUCGGUGCAGUCUCCUGGGGAACGGUGCUCUCGGGAACAAUGGGGAGCAAAGCAGACUGUCUUCCUUGGGGUCCUUGUGGUGCGGCCCUCUCCAACCCACUCACCUGGUGGCGCAGCCCAUGAAGCCUGUCCGGCCUGACCCCACCCGACUGGCAUCGGCCGUCUGGGCAGCAGACGUGUGCGGAGCAUCUCCGAGGUUCUGGGCUGGGUGUGAACAGGACAGACGGCGCUGCCCUCCCAGGCUGUGUUCCGGAAAAGGGCAAGCCUGCAGAACGUGCCCAGCAGAGAACCGAGACCACCACCAGAGUGGAGCAGUGACCAUCACCCAUUUCCAGACGGGUCUGCUGGAAUUGCUUAGAGAUGUCCCAUGCGGACCGUGAGAACUGGAGGGACUCCAGACGGGUCCUGGCGGUCCCGACGUGGUCUGAGGGAUCGGUGACGGACCCGGCUGACCGUCACAAACGAGAGGGUCUCCCCCAUGCCGAGGCCAGGUGUGCGGGCCAUUUCCACAAGGUUCCCACGGGUCUCAAA